AGUGAACGCUGGCGGUAGGCCUAACACAUGCAAGUCGAACGGCAGCACAGUAAGAGCUUGCUCUUACGGGUGGCGAGUGGCGGACGGGUGAGGAAUACAUCGGAAUCUACUUUUUCGUGGGGGAUAACGUAGGGAAACUUACGCUAAUAGCGCAUACGACCUACGGGUGAAAGCAGGGGAUCUUCGGACCUUGCGCGAUUGAAUGAGCCGAUGUCGGAUUAGCUAGUUGGCGGGGUAUAGGCCCACCAAGGCGACGAUCCGUAGCUGGUCUGAGAGGAUGAUCAGCCACACUGGAACUGAGACACGGUCCAGACUCCUACGGGAGGCAGCAGUGGGGAAUAUUGGACAAUGGGCGCAAGCCUGAUCCAGCCAUACCGCGUGGGUGAAGAAGGCCUUCGGGUUGUAAAGCCCUUUUGUUGGGAAAGAAAAGCAGCAGGUUAAUACCCCGCUGUUCUGACGGUACCCAAAGAAUAAGCACCGGCUAACUUCGUG
Molecule: ribosomal RNA, 492 nt
Filed under: uncultured bacterium
Lineage: Bacteria
Description: partial 16S ribosomal RNA
Rfam family: Bacterial small subunit ribosomal RNA
Source: RNAcentral